This 74-nucleotide transfer RNA is filed under the name Podarcis lilfordi (Lilford's wall lizard). RNAcentral's name for it is "tRNA.Ile". The record is from RNAcentral. Lineage: Eukaryota; Metazoa; Chordata; Lepidosauria; Squamata; Lacertidae.
GACUGGAUAGCUCAAUUGGUUAAAGUGUGGUGCUGAUCACGCCAAGGUUGCAGGUCCGAUCCCCUUAUGGGACA